UUAAACAAGAUCGGAGAGAUCCGAGACAUACACCUGUCCCUAUCUACUAUCUAGCGAAACCACAGCCAAGGGAACGGGCUUGGAAUAAUUAGCGGGGAAAGAAGACCCUUUUGAGCUUGACUCUAAUCUGGCAGUGUAAGGAGACAUAAGAGGUGUAGAAUAAGUGGGAGAUAUUAGACUUCGGUUUGGUAUCGCCAAUGAAAUACCACUACUCUUAUUGUUUCCUUACUUACUUGAUUAAAUGGAACGUGUAUCAUUUCCUAGCCAUUAUACGGAUAUAUUUAUUAUAUCUUAUGGUAUUGGGUUUUGAUGCAAGCUUCUUGAUCAAAGUAUCACGAGUUUGUUAUAUAAUCGCAAACAAAUUCUUUAAUGAGAGAUGCAUUUACUGUAUUAUUGAUUUGAAAAUUUGGUAUAACUCCAAUUACUCAGGUAUGAUCCAAUUCAAGGACAUUGCCAGGUAGGGAGUUUGACUGGGGCGGUACAUCUCUCAAAUAAUAACGGAGGUGUCCCAAGGCCAGCUCAGUGCGGACAGAAACCACACAUAGAGCAAAAGGGCAAAUGCUGACUUGAUCUCGGUGUUCAGUACACACAGGGACAGCAAAAGCUCGGCCUAUCGAUCCUUUUGGUUUAAAGAG
Drosophila ananassae is the source of this 635-nucleotide non-coding RNA. NCBI's taxonomy places the organism in Eukaryota, Metazoa, Arthropoda, Insecta, Diptera, Drosophilidae. The record is from Rfam.